Molecule: long non-coding RNA, 114 nt
Organism: Aquila chrysaetos chrysaetos
Lineage: Eukaryota; Metazoa; Chordata; Aves; Accipitriformes; Accipitridae
Exons: 3
Source: RefSeq, a predicted model, not a curated record
UUUUGUUUUAAGAAACUAAGGAAACCGUUAUGGACACCAGUUUGUUGCUUGGAAACCCUUUACCCUUCCCACCUCAAUCUAAUUAUCGAGGAUUCCAAUCAUUGGUUAAUCUCA